Wyeomyia smithii (pitcher-plant mosquito) is the source of this 1900-nucleotide long non-coding RNA. RefSeq lists it as uncharacterized. The transcript has 7 exons. Lineage: Eukaryota; Metazoa; Arthropoda; Insecta; Diptera; Culicidae. The record is from RefSeq and is a predicted model, not a curated record.
AAUGUAAAUUUAACAAAGGUUGCGAAGUAAAGUUUGAUUGCUUGAAGGUGACGAAAAAUACUCGAACAAUUCACAUGUUUUCAAGCAUGAAGAGAAAAUAACACACGAUUGCCUAACAAGAGGCGCACUUCGCGUGGACUGUCUCGAGCAACGAGUGAAGGUAGUGAAGAGAUUUAUGCUCAGUUCACAAAAAAAAAGAUAAGUUUGCAAGGAGAAAAGUUACCUACAUUAUUUUUUUCUCCUUGUUUAUAGCUAAGACCUAUCGGUCCAUAAAGCAAGUUACAUUAUUGUCUAAGAUGAAAAAUUGCCUUAGUUUAUUGGCGAUAUUUGCAAUUCGAGUGUGUAUGCACCUAGCAUUUCGCAGUCACGAAAAAAAGGUUCACCCUUUCUGGCAUCGCAGUUGCUGCGAAUGAUUCAUGAUCGUAGCAACCGUUGACAUUGUGAUAUUUUUUUCACAACUUUCAAGAUGUGAGAAAAAUUGUCUAGGAAAACUUAUCGUUCUGGUGCAGAUUCGGACAGAGAGAAUUACCUUUCGGAUGUAAGUUGCUGUGAAGCUGGCCGCAAGACGCUUUCCUUUCUAAGUAUCUACGAGCAUCUUGUCGAGUGUGACGCGAUGGCUGACUGCUUGUGAUUUCUGCAAUCCAUCGGAGUACAAUGGAUACAAAAACCACAGAACUUUUAAGGUUCAUAUCGAGGCCUUUCAACCAAGCAAAUACCGCCGCAAAACGACAUAUAGCAGAAGUGCUUUUUCAGCAAAUUGGGCGCUUCCGGAAACAAAAAUGAAACGUGAAUCCUAACUGCAGAUGAUUUUCAGUAGGGUGAAAAAUCUAUCGCUCUGCGUGAUUUGGCAAUUUCGGACACUCCAUCACUACGUGGUAGUAGACGAUCUCGUGAACAUCGACGUAAAAGUUCCCGGCGCAACUUUGGCUCGCGAGCUCAACUAAUUCCAACAUGAGUAACCAAGCGAACGCAAACUGAAAGAUACAACCUACUUGCUGGAUUUUAUUCAUCCCGAUUUCCUACUGCUUCAAAUAGUUGCGAGGAAUUUUAUCUUGUGGGACAAUCCCAACUACAGGCAUGUAAUUUCAACAAGGAUAAUUAGAGUAUCUAAGCAAGCUGCGCCACAGGAUCUAGUCUUGGAUGAUCUGUUGUACCCGCUCUAUCUAUUCGUGUUUCAUUGGGAAUCUUGAAAGGAAGGUAGCUAUGAUGUCGCAUACGAUCAAUUCGUUCAGCCAGGCCGCUAUUUGGAACCCAAACCUACAGUGAUUACAAGAGCGUCAAUAAGGGUGUCGGCUGUUAGCUAUCGAAGAUCAGUUAGCGGAUCUGUUCAAUGCACUAGAAAUUGUUGAUCGAUUUUGCGCCAUACGCUAAGAAAUAGAUCGAGGAGAAAAUCUACAUCGUGGUAAAGCAAGCGGCUUUACGAAUUAGAAGAUGGCUGAAGUUGGAGCUGGGUCGCGCGAGUUAGGUAACAGAUAACCAAAAAGAAUAAAAAAUACAAGUGUACAAUGUGACCACAGUGCAAAAAAGAUGGAUAGAACGACAGAAAACAGAGAGAUUUUAUUCUCCAUCCAACCAAAAAUCGCCAAAGCGCUACAUUCGGAAUGUGACUGCUGCCAAAAGUCGGUCUGAAAUCUGGCCGGGUUGGAAGUUUCCGGAAGAGAUAGAGAUAGACUCGGACAGCGGAGGAGGGAGAGGGAACGGUUGGAAGAACUCGGAGCGGUCGCAGAACCAGGUGGAAUUCCUGCCGGAUGACUAGCAGAACCGUUUCCGGAAGAGAUUGCUGGAGGAAGAGGAGAGAGAACGGUUGGCGGAACUCGGCCCGGUCGCAGAACUGGUUUGAGGGCUGCUGGAUGACAUCGGUAAAAAUCGUCGAAAAUGCGGAAUCGGAUAAAAUUAUAAU